AGGUGGUUAAAAAAGUUGGUGGUGAAAUCCCAGAGCUUGACUCUGGAACUGCCAUCAAAACUUUUUAGCUAGAGUAUGAUAGAGGAAAGCAGAAUUUCUAGUGUAGAGGUGAAAUUCGUAGAUAUUAGAAAGAAUACCAAUUGCGAAGGCAGCUUUCUGGAUCAUUACUGACACUGAGGAACGAAAGCAUGGGUAGCGAAGAGGAUUAGAUACCCUCGUAGUCCCAUGCCGUAAACGAUGUGUGUUAGACGUUGGAAAUUUAUUUUCAGUGUCGCAGCGAAAGCAAUAAACACACCGCCUGGGGAGUACGACCGCAAGGUUAAAACUCAAAUGAAUUGACGGGGACCCGCACAAGUAGUGGAGCAUGUGGUUUAAUUCGAAGAUACGCGCAGAACCUUACCAACACUUGACAUGUUCGUCGCGACUCUAAGAGAUUAGAGUUUUCGGUUCGGCCGGACGAAACACAGGUGCUGCAUGGCUGUCGUCAGCUCGUGUCGUGAGAUGUUGGGUUAAGUCCCGCAACGAGCGCAACCCGCACUUUUAGUUGCCAUCAUUUAGUUGGGCACUCUGAAAGAACUGCCAGUGAUAAGCUGGAGGAAGGUGGGGAUGACGUCAAGUCCUCAUGGCCCUUAUGUGUUGGGCUACACACGUGCUACAAUGGUAUUUACAACAGGAAGCAAGACGGCAACGUUAAGCAAAUCCCUAAAAAAUACCUCAGUUCGGAUUGCACUCUGCAACUCGAGUGCAUGAAGCUGGAAUUACUAGUAAUCGUGGAUCAGCGUGCCACGGUGAAUACGUUCCCGGGUCUUGCACACACCGCCCGUC
Molecule: ribosomal RNA, 825 nt
Filed under: uncultured bacterium
Lineage: Bacteria
Description: bacterial SSU rRNA
Rfam family: Bacterial small subunit ribosomal RNA
Source: RNAcentral